UCAGCGCUCACACUGACAACCGGAGGAACUAAAAACAAACAAAAACAUGAACAAGCAUUAAAAAAAACAUCAACAAUUUUGUAAUGCGUUUCAUUAAUAUGCAUGUCUGACCCUGAUUACUCAAGAUUAGUAGAAGAUUUUUUUAUUGAACAGUGAAGGUGAAAGUAGAGUUUAAGUCGGACUUUAGAGCCGUGUACUUCACACUGCACCACUCUGCACAAAUUUGUGGUGACAAGAAGGCAAAACCACUGGAUGCCCAGACGAUUUGUGGUUAUCGGACUGACAGAUAGAUGUCGUUUAUUUCCCUGACCUGGUCGUGGACUAAAAGGACGAAGACAAAAGACAAAGAGGCGACUUCAAAUACAAAUAUACAGGACACCGGGAAUACCUGCUUUAGGAAAUUCCCCACCAGAUACUGAACCUGAGGAUUAAGAGGUGAUGGAAAUGGACCCCAAGCUCCAAUAAACACAAGAAGAAGAAGAAGAAGAAGAAGAAGAAGAAGACGUCUACUGGAGGCUGUUUGUACUCAUGGAUAUUACGGUCAUUGAUUUAAUCCUGCGAUUAAAAAUGUCAACAUUUAUAUUAUGACCGUGUUGUUCAGAGGUUGGAUAAUUUUAUAAGACCCGGAACUAACGGAGAUUAAACUGUUCAGAUUUCCAAAAUAAACAGAACAUAACAUGACGCCUGCAUUGCAGCAGUGAAGGGAGAAGUCUGAACACCAAGUAGUGAUGUGUUUCCAUUGCAGCACUGCUGUGGAAAUUUUAAUAAAAACACACUGGUAGGUGUAACCGGUGUUGUCUGCGUUGUGCUUUAACAUGUUUCUUAAUAACAUGUUAUCAAGAAACAAUAUUUAAAAAAAAAAAAAACAACAACAACAGAAAAACAAAUUACAACAAAACAAAAACAGUUGCCAGGGGGAGGGAAGUAUAAAACUCCAAAACAUAAAUACAAGAUAUACAUAUAUACACAUGUAUGCAUAUAUACAAUCAAAUAAAUAUAUUGUAAAAUUCACAAACUUUCAAAGUUUUUACAGCUCUCAUUAACAGAGUCUCGAACACUGUCAAUAUAAAUACAUAUUUCAGUCAACAAAACCAUAAAAUUGGGUAUUUUAUUAGUAAAUUUACACUUUUACUAAGAUUUGGUCAAUAGAAUAGUAAAUGAAUUAAGUAAAAGUACUGUUCCUGUUGGUCAGGAUAGUCAGUAAAGCCAAAGAGGACAUUUUCCCAUAAGAGUGAACGAGGUCUU
Hemibagrus wyckioides is the source of this 1245-nucleotide long non-coding RNA. RefSeq lists it as uncharacterized. Lineage: Eukaryota; Metazoa; Chordata; Actinopteri; Siluriformes; Bagridae. The record is from RefSeq and is a predicted model, not a curated record. The transcript has 3 exons.